This is a long non-coding RNA of Cimex lectularius (bed bug), 349 nucleotides long. RefSeq lists it as uncharacterized. NCBI's taxonomy places the organism in Eukaryota, Metazoa, Arthropoda, Insecta, Hemiptera, Cimicidae. The transcript has 2 exons. The record is from RefSeq and is a predicted model, not a curated record.
UUAACCACGUUUUUAUUACAUGUGUUCAUUUUUUUCUCAGAACCAAACUCUUUUCGAAAUUAAUACAAAAAUGACCAUCAUUAACACGAUUUUAAAUAAGAUCCAUUUUGUUUACGUAAGUUCGUACAUCUGCCUUUCUGCUGUCGGGAUGUCUGCUCUGUGCUGCAACGUCAGAAAUCACGUAGAUGAAAAGCGUGAAAAAAAGAAGCAGAUGGCAAGGUUGCAAGAUCAGAUUCAGUUUGAAAGAUUAUUGGAACAUUGGAAGAAACAAGCAGCAGAUUAUUGAAUCGCGAUUUCAAACAAACAUAUUCCUCUUUUUUUGUAAAAUUAAAAUCAAAUAAACUUCGAA